Long non-coding RNA from Tympanuchus pallidicinctus (lesser prairie-chicken), 334 nucleotides. RefSeq lists it as uncharacterized. Lineage: Eukaryota; Metazoa; Chordata; Aves; Galliformes; Phasianidae. The transcript is spliced from 4 exons. The record is from RefSeq and is a predicted model, not a curated record.
GGCUUGAGAGAAUGCAUGAACAAAUUGAAGUGCUGUUGCAAGAGCUCCCUUGUGGGUGUGACAAAAGAGGUGUGGAAUCCUUCCCUGGUGCAGAGUAAAGACUUUUAUGGGUCUUUAAGUACGAUGGAUCUUGAAAGCAAUGUCAAGACUACUUGUGAGAAGGUUGCUGAGGCUUCGGGCUUUCAUUCUCUGCCUUAGACUUUGUAAAAUUACACUUGAGAGUUGUGGAUGUGCUUCAUGCCACAGUGGAUGUGAAUCAUGGAUUGAAACAACAAAGGUCUCGAGCACGCCAUCAAAAAUUACUUUCUUGCUGUUCUUAUUUCUGCUGCAGGUA